This 411-nucleotide ribosomal RNA is filed under the name Triticum aestivum (bread wheat). Its description in RNAcentral is "partial small subunit ribosomal RNA". Lineage: Eukaryota; Viridiplantae; Streptophyta; Magnoliopsida; Poales; Poaceae. The record is from RNAcentral.
AUGGGCCUUAACUAUCAGAUUGUGUACAAGAAGGGGGUUGAAAAUUCAGCUACCGAUGCUUUAUCCAGAAGGCCCAAUUCACAAGUGCUUAGUAUAUUCAGAGCUCAGCCUGUUUGGAUGGAAGAAAUCAUUGCCAGUUAUGGAAAUGAUGAUAAGGCAACUAAACUAUUGCAACAGCUUUCUGUUGAUCCAAAGGCAAAACCUAACUACCAAUUAAUCCAAGGGAUCAUUAGGUAUAAGGGAUGUAUAUGGAUUGGUAAUCAUCCUGAAUUGCAUGCCAAAGUAUUCUCUGCAUUCCAUGGUAGUCCAGUGGGGGGGGGGGGGCAUUCAGGAUUUCCUGUCACUUACAGAAGAAUACACUCACUCUUUCGAUGGGUUGGCAUGAAGCAAUUCAUUAAACAUAAAGUGUAA